This 391-nucleotide unclassified non-coding RNA is filed under the name soil metagenome. RNAcentral's name for it is "partial contains 5.8S ribosomal RNA, internal transcribed spacer 2, and large subunit ribosomal RNA". The stretch from base 1 to 122 matches the Rfam family "5.8S ribosomal RNA", at positions 35 to 154 of the family's 154-position model. The record is from RNAcentral.
GAUGAAGAACGUAGCGAAAUGCGAUACUUGGUGUGAAUUGCAGAAUCCCGUGAACCAUCGAGUCUUUGAACGCAAGUUGCGCCCGAAGCCAUUAGGCCGAGGGCACGCCUGCCUGGGCGUCACACGUCGUUGCCCCCCCAUCUACUCCUUCGGGAUUGCGGGGGGCGGAUGAUGGCCUCCCGUGCGCCUCGUCGCGCGGUUGGCAUAAAUGCCAAGUCCUCGGCGACGCACGCCACGACAAUCGGUGGUUGCGAAACCUCGGUUGCCCGUCGUGUGCGGUCGUCGCGCAUCGAGGGCUCGAAAAAAUGGUCGGGCUCCGGCUCGGCUUUCAACGCGACCCCAGGUCAGGCGGGGUUACCCGCUGAAUUUAAGCAUAUCAAUAAGCGGAGGA